CAAUAAGCGGAGGAAAAGAAACCAACAGGGAUUGCCCCAGUAACGGCGAGUGAAGCGGCAACAGCUCAAAUUUGAAAUCUGGCCCCCCCCGGGGGGGCCCGAGUUGUACUUUGGAGAGGAUGCUUUGGGCGCGGCGCCUUCCGAGUUCCUUGGAACAGGACGCCAGAGAGGGUGAGAGCCCCGUACGGUCGGACGCCUAGCCCGUGCAAAGCUCCUUCGACGAGUCGAGUAGUUUGGGAAUGCUGCUCAAAAUGGGAGGUAAAUUUCUUCUAAAGCUAAAUACCGGCCAGAGACCGAUAGCGCACAAGUAGAGUGAUCGAAAGAUGAAAAGCACUUUGAAAAGAGGGUUAAACAGCACGUGAAAUUGUUGAAAGGGAAGCGCCUGUGGCCAGACGUGCGCCCCGCGGACCACCCGCCGCCCCGGCGGCGGGGCACGCCGCGGGUGCGCAGGCCAGCAUCGGCUUCCCCAGGGGGACAAAGGCCGCGGGAACGUAGCUCCCUCGGGAGUGUUACAGCCCGCGGCGUCAUGCCCCUGGGGGGGCCGAGG
RNAcentral lists this ribosomal RNA (547 nucleotides) under Raffaelea aff. albimanens C2569. RNAcentral describes it as "partial 26S ribosomal RNA". It matches the Rfam family "Eukaryotic large subunit ribosomal RNA", at positions 44 to 591 of the family's 3401-position model. Lineage: Eukaryota; Fungi; Ascomycota; Sordariomycetes; Ophiostomatales; Ophiostomataceae. The record is from RNAcentral.